Molecule: ribosomal RNA, 253 nt
Filed under: uncultured bacterium
Lineage: Bacteria
Description: partial 16S ribosomal RNA
Rfam family: Bacterial small subunit ribosomal RNA
Source: RNAcentral
UACGUAGGGUGCAAGCGUUGUCCGGAAUUAUUGGGCGUAAAGAGCUCGUAGGCGGUUUGUUGCGUCGGCUGUGAAAUCCCGAGGCUCAACCUCGGGUCUGCAGUCGAUACGAGCAAACUAGAGUGUUGCAGGGGAGACUGGAAUUCCUGGUGUAGCGGUGAAAUGCGCAGAUAUCAGGAGGAACACCGGUGGCGAAGGCGGGUCUCUGGGCAGUUGCUGACACUGAUGCGCGACAGCGUGGGGAGCAAACAGG